GCCAGCGUGGUCUAGUGGUUUGAGCAUUGGACUGCGACUCUGGAGAUCAGGGUUCGAGUCACCACUUGGCC
Molecule: non-coding RNA, 71 nt
Organism: Phrynosoma platyrhinos (Desert horned lizard)
Lineage: Eukaryota; Metazoa; Chordata; Lepidosauria; Squamata; Phrynosomatidae
Source: the annotation of a GenBank genome assembly